GGUUUUUAAUUCGAGAUAUAUUAACAGAGCUUUUACACUUAAUCACAACUGCUCUUGCUUUGGUAUAUAGUAUUUUGCAGGGAAAUUGGUACCCCUUUCUCUAAAUUUAUCUCAAGGAUAUGUGUAUUACAGAGCUGACAGAAAAUUACUACAAAGAAUUACUCUAUUUUAUAAGUGAAGAAUUGAUUGACGACACAGGUCUCCUUUCUAACAAUGACGUGUCAAAAAUGGACGAAACACUGGGAGAGCUUGAUAAAGAUGACGACACUUUUCCAGUAGGAAAUAGUGUUGUGGAUCUAAGAUUUUUAACACAUAUACACAAUAAAUAUGAGUUCUUCAAGCAGUGAAAGCGAACGCAGUUCGGAUACUGAAAACUCAGAUAUGGCAAAUGAAAAUUUACUUUCGAAUUCCGGCGAUGAGGAUACAAUUGUGGCUAAUUCAGUUGUGGUACGAAAAUGAACCUCUUGCGAACGCAGUCGGAGAGAAUUUUGUGUCGGUCGAAGAAGACGCAGAUGGCUUAGAACCUCGAACAUUGGAAGCGAGGUUCGAAGGAACCGUUCAGUUAGAUAAGUGGUGUGCAUGUAGCUUGUGUCAUACUCAACUGCUGACAGAUGCCAUUGAAUACCGUUGUUGUCAAGAGGUUGGGCCUACUUUACAUAAACUGGUAUUCGGU
Xenia sp. Carnegie-2017 is the source of this 673-nucleotide long non-coding RNA. RefSeq lists it as uncharacterized. The record is from RefSeq and is a predicted model, not a curated record. NCBI's taxonomy places the organism in Eukaryota, Metazoa, Cnidaria, Anthozoa, Malacalcyonacea, Xeniidae. The transcript is spliced from 3 exons.